Molecule: ribosomal RNA, 439 nt
Filed under: Taringa telopia
Lineage: Eukaryota; Metazoa; Mollusca; Gastropoda; Nudibranchia; Discodorididae
Description: partial 16S ribosomal RNA
Rfam family: Bacterial large subunit ribosomal RNA
Source: RNAcentral
AGCUUUAGGAAAUUAGUCUAAAGUCAAACCUGCCCAAUGUCAAUGUUAUGAAUGGCCGCGGUACUUUGACCGUGCUAAGGUAGCGCAAUCAAUUGGCUUUUAAUUGAGGCCAGGUAUGAAUGGAAUCACGGUAUUUAGCUGUCUCUAAAUUAAUCUAUUGAAAUUACUAUUUAGGUGAAAAAGCCUAAAAAAAGAAGAAAGACGAGAAGACCCUUAGAGUUUCUCUAAAUUUAGCAACAUUGCUAAAACAGUUUAGUUGGGGCAACAUUGGAACAAUAUUUAACCUCCAAAAAUUACAAACCGAUAAUUAUAAAUAUGAAUAAACUACCUUAGGGAUAACAGCAUAAUUUUAUAAAUAAGUUUGUGACCUCGAUGUUGGACUAGGAACCUAAUAGACUAACCGUUUUUUAGUAAAGUUCUGUUCGAACUAAAAUUUCCU